This 516-nucleotide ribosomal RNA is filed under the name uncultured bacterium. RNAcentral describes it as "bacterial SSU rRNA". It matches the Rfam family "Bacterial small subunit ribosomal RNA", at positions 124 to 674 of the family's 1533-position model. The record is from RNAcentral.
AUCUACCUUUUGCUACGGAAUAGCUCCGGGAAACUGGAAUUAAUACCGUAUGUGCCCUUAGGGGGAAAGAUUUAUCGGCAAGAGAUGAGCCCGCGUUGGAUUAGCUAGUUGGUGGGGUAAAGGCCUACCAAGGCGACGAUCCAUAGCUGGUCUGAGAGGAUGAUCAGCCACAUUGGGACUGAGACACGGCCCAAACUCCUACGGGAGGCAGCAGUGGGGAAUAUUGGACAAUGGGCGCAAGCCUGAUCCAGCCAUGCCGCGUGAGUGAUGAAGGCCUUAGGGUUGUAAAGCUCUUUCACCGGAGAAGAUAAUGACGGUAUCCGGAGAAGAAGCCCCGGCUAACUUCGUGCCAGCAGCCGCGGUAAUACGAAGGGGGCUAGCGUUGUUCGGAAUGACUGGGCGUAAAGCGCACGUAGGCGGACAUUUAAGUCAGGGGUGAAAUCCCGGGGCUCAACCUCGGAACUGCCUUUGAUACUGGGUGUCUGGAGUGUGGAAGAGGUGAGUGGAAUUCCGAGU